Molecule: long non-coding RNA, 786 nt
Filed under: Brachypodium distachyon (stiff brome)
Lineage: Eukaryota; Viridiplantae; Streptophyta; Magnoliopsida; Poales; Poaceae
Description: long non-coding RNA (BDIS_LNC000766)
Source: RNAcentral
UGUGAGUUCAAGUCAUGUGUCUGCCAUCAUUUGUUUUUUCUUUCCUCUUUGUUAUUUCCUUUUCUUAUUUAUACUUUGUUUCCUUUUUUGUCUCUUGAUUUUUCUCGUUUUUAUUAUCCUUUUAGAAUCGUGCAUAAAAUUUCAUGUGCACUUUUUAGAACGGCACAUAAAUUUCACGUGCAACUUUUAGAAUCGCGCACAAAUUUCACGUCCAAUUAGAAUCGCGGAUAAAAUUUGCCCACAAAUUUUGAUGUCCAAUUAGAUCGCGGAUAAAAUUUCACGUGCAAUUUUUAGAAUCGCGCACAAAAUUUCACGUGCAGUUAGAAUCGCGGAUAAAAGUGCAAUGUUUAGACAUGCACAAAAUUUCGCGUGCCACUUUUUGAAUCGCCCACAAAUUAUGACAUACAAUUAGAAUCGCGGAUAAAAUUUCAUGUGCAAUCUUUAGAAUCGCCCACAAAAUUUCACGUGCAAUUUUUUAAAUCAGGCAUAAAGUUUCAGGUGCAAUUUUUAAAUCGCGCAAAAGUUUCAGGUGUAAUGUUUAAAAUUUGGUAAUCUGAAACCUGUUGUUAUUAAUGAAUUCAACAAAAAAACAAAAAAAAGACUAGGCUACCUAUCAGCAAAGCCAGCACGCAUGGGCACCCACACUCACAGAUGCACAAACACGGGAAUCCACGCACACCCACACACAUGCACACACGGCGCACGCACACACCCACAUACAUGCACAUGCACAUGCACACAGGCACACACACCGGCAGACACCCACAUCGCGCGGCACUAUGCCAG